Molecule: ribosomal RNA, 1004 nt
Filed under: Agarivorans litoreus
Lineage: Bacteria; Pseudomonadati; Pseudomonadota; Gammaproteobacteria; Alteromonadales; Alteromonadaceae
Description: partial 16S ribosomal RNA
Source: RNAcentral
AGUCGAGCGGUAACAAAGUAGCUUGCUACUUGCUGACGAGCGGCGGACGGGUGAGUARUGCUUGRGAAUAUGCCUUUACGUGGGGGACAACAGUUGGAAACSASUGCUAAUACCGCAUARUGUCUUCRGACCAARRGAGGRGACUCUUCGGASCCUUUCGCGUAAAGAUUASCCCAAGUGRGAUUAGCUAGUUGGUAAGGUARUGGCUUACCARGGMSACAUCCCUACUGGUUUGAGARGAUGAUCASCCACUCUGRGACUGASACACGSCCCASACUCCUACGGGAGGCAGCAGUGGGGAAUAUUGCACARUGGGMGAAAGCCUGAUGCASCCRUGCCGCGUGUGUGAAGAASGCCUUCGGGUUGUAAAGCUCUUUCASUCGUGAGGAAGGGGUAGUAAUUAAUACUUGCUAUCUUUGACGUUMGCGACAGAAGAARGACCGGCUAACUCCGUGCCAGCASCCGCGGUAAUACRGAGGGUCMGAGCGUUAMUCRGAAUUACUGGGCGUAAAGCGUACGCASGCGGCUUGUUAASCCAGAUGUGAAMUCCCCGGGCUCAACCUGGGAAUGGYAUUUGGAACUGGCAAGCUAGAGUUUUGUAGAGGGUGGUAGAAUUUCRGGUGUAGCGGUGAARUGCRUAGAGAUCUGAAGGAAUACCAGUGGMGAASGCGGCCACCUGGACAAAAACUGACGCUCAUGUAMRAAAGCGUGGGGAGCAAACARGAUUAGAUACCCUGGUAGUCCACGCCGUAMACGAUGUCUACUAGUUGUCUGUGAGUUUAACUCGUGGGUAACGCAGCUAACGCAUUAAGUAGACCGCCUGGAGAGUACGGCCGCAAGGUUAAMACUCAAAUGAAUUGACGGGGGCCCGCACAAGCGGUGGAGCAUGUGGUUUAAUUCGAUGCAACGCGAAGAACCUUACCUGCCCGUGACAUACUGAGAACUUACCAGAGAUGGUUUGGUGCCUUCGGGAACUCAGAUACRGGUGCUGCAUGGCUGUCCUC